This is an RNA transcript of Capsicum annuum, 3263 nucleotides long. It is a transcript of the gene named methyl jasmonate esterase 1, with no coding region annotated. The record is from RefSeq and is a predicted model, not a curated record. The transcript is spliced from 3 exons. NCBI's taxonomy places the organism in Eukaryota, Viridiplantae, Streptophyta, Magnoliopsida, Solanales, Solanaceae.
UUACAAAUUGAUGAUGAGCUAGCUAUAAGAUGCCUCAUAAUCCAAUAUUAUUAUUAUCUCUCAACUAAAAUUAGAGCACUCCACAAGCCAUUACAAUAAAGAGGUUACGUUGGUGGUGGGACAACAAUGACAACAUUCUCUGCAGCAAUAGUAAGUUCAGCAGCCAUUGUAGGUACAAGGACGUCUGGCCAGAUCAAAAGAACCAAAGUGAAGUACAUGACUAGUGGAUUGAACUCAUUUGGAGGUCAAAAGGCAAAUAACCAUGUCGCCUCAUUAGGCCUCCCCAUGUUCUCACUGCAAACCCCAUCACAAACCAAAGGUCGAGCUUUAAUUUGCCCUCUCUUUUCAGAUUUCUCAAAAAGAGUAAUUCUUAACCUACUUCAACUCCAAGCGUCAAAAGUAAUAAAUACUACAACGCUCCAAAUUGAUUCUAAUUCUCAAACAUUGCCAAUAAGUAUUUAGAUAUCCGAUCGAUCGAGCGUAUUUGUCAAUUCCUAUUUAGGACUCACAAGUUUGUUUACAAACCAUCCACAAAUGCCAAUCAAAAGAAGUAGAAAAAAUAUAUGAAGAAAAAACAAUUUUCUAAUACUUGUGCAUGUUGCCAUAUAUGCAGAUGCUAUCUUUCUAAAUUUCUAUUACCCACAUAAUUAAUUAAUUAUUUGCUCAUUUAAUUAUAAUUGAAUAAGUUAAAUCUUAAAUUUGUACAGGGAGGUACCUAGUAGGAUUAAACUACUGACUAAUAAUUAUUAUAUCCACAAAUCACGUUGAUGGAACGUGAAAACAUAAUUGUCUGCUCUCCAUAUUAUAAAAGGGUCAUCUCUCUGCCAAAAUAAAAAUAAGCUCCCUCAUAUAUUAUUUUGAAAUGUAAGGAUAAGAGAGAGAAAAAUACUUUUGUGCUUCCGCUAAAACCAUAGAGAAUUCAGGUAAGUAAUUCUUCACUGAAUUACUGUAAUUUGUUUAUGUGAAAAUCAUUAAGUUCUACGUUCCUACAUAAUUGAUAGGAUUAUUUAUAUUAGAUUGUUUAAGUUAUACAAUCAUGUUAAAUCCUUACAUGUGGUAUCCGAGUAAGGUUUAAGAAUAAGUGAUUUUUCAUCAAAAAAAAUAAUGUUUCUUCUAAUUGUUUGAACCUUAAUUAUGUUUGUUAGGAAUUUCACAAUUACCAAAAUAAUGAAAUUUUGAUAAAUUAUGAUUUAUGUGUCUAUGAAGAAACUAAAUAGUGUAUGUUUUAAUCAAAUCCUUAUGUUUUAAUUGUUUGUAGUAGUAUGUUUAUUGGAAUUGAAUUCAUGGGAAAGCAUAAUUGCUAAUACGGUGAUAAUAAUUAAAAUUUCGUGACGCAUUGCAUAAUUUAUGGGACUGAAUAUUGCAGUAAAUUAAGGAUGCUUAAUUGUUGGCCUAGUGAUGUUUCCAUAGAUUUAGGAUAUUAUAAAUUCAUGGGAUAUAUUAUUAAUUCUACUAAAUUCCGGCUUACAGUGAUGCAUUGUUAAUUACUUCCAUAGAUUUUAAUUUACGGACUGCUCAUUGUUAAAUAAAAUAAAGAAUAACCUUUAUUAUGUUUGUUCUUUGUUAUUUUAAAUGUUACGGAAACAACUCUUUGUUGUUAGAAUAUUGUAGUAUGCAAUAAUAAAAUUUAUUAUUUUUUUUAAUGUGACUUGAAAUUAUAUAUGUAAGAUUCGUUAAUCACCAAAGUGGUCGAAUCUUUAUGAAAUUAAUUCCAAAAUAAAGAUUAAAUUAAAAUUAAUUAUCCAUUAAUGUUGGUGCUUAUAAUUGAUCUAAUAAUUAUGGCUAAAUUAAAAUUUUGGUUAUAAAAUAUUUGUGGAUCACCUAAAGGUUGAUUGUUUGUUCGUAUGACCAAUAAAUAUUAAGGAGAUAAUUUUGAUGUGUCGUUAAUUUUAUUUAUUUAUUUAUUUAUUUAUCCAAAGAUAAUAAAUAUUAUUAAUUGAUGCAUUAAAUAUUUUCGAUUUGUGUUAAAUAUACUUUUAAGCAUCAUUAUGUUUAAAGUUGUAUUUUGAUGUUUCGCCCAAAGGAGAACAUCAAUAUACAUUCAAGAAAGUAAAUUAUUUCUGAAUUUGAUAAUGUGUUUAAACUAGUAACUCAAAGUAUUAAUAAAUGAGCAUGUUUUACUUGCAGCACUUGCCCUUCAUUCGCACUCUGCCUCUGUUACAAAUUUUAACAGACUUAACUUUUUAGAUUGGAACGAACAAAUCAAAUUCCAUCUUGGGGUUUUAGAUCUUGAUGUUGCACUUUACUCUGAGAAGCCAACGGUUAUUACUGAAGCUAGCAGUGAUGAAGAAAAGUCCUAUUAUAAGCAUCGGGAUCGAUCUAACAGAUUAGGCCUAAUAUUCAUGCGAAUGAAUAUUGCGGGCAACAUUAAGACUACUCUUUCCAAAACUGAAAGUGCAAAAGAACUUCUAAAAUUUGUGGAAGAGUCUUCCCAAACUGUCAAUAAGUCCUUUGCUAGGACACUAAUGGGUACUUUGACCACCAUGAAGUUUGAUGGUUCACGUACUAUGAUGAGCAUGUCAUUGAAAUGACAAAUAUAGCAGCAAGACUUAAGUCUUUGGGAAUGGAAGUGGAACAAAAUUUCCUUGUGCAGUUCAUCAUCAACUCAUUACCGUCUGAGUAUGGUCUUUUCCAAAUGAACUACAACACCAUGAAAGACAAAUGGAACGUGCAUGAAUUGCAUGGUAUGCUAGUUCAAGAGGAAACAAGACUGAAGAAUCAAGGACCCCACUUCAUUAACUUUGUAAAUCAUCAAGAAGUUGAAAAUAAAGGAAAGAAACAUGUUAAGGGACAACAGAAGCAACUUAAUGUUAAUGAUUCAUUAUCUCAAGUACGUAAGAAAGGAAACAAGAAUGAGAAGUGUCAUUUCUGUGGAAAAUCUGGACACUUUCAGAAAGAUUGCCUGAAACGUAAGACAUGGUUUGAGAAGAAAGGGAUUCUUUACAAUCCAAACCAUAAACAAGAAUGAAAAAUUUGCUUACAUGGGGAAUAGAGUGAAGGCUCCAGUUGAAGCUAUCAAGACUUAUCGUCUGAUUCUUGAUACUGGACGUCACUUAGAUUUAGUUGAAACUUAUUAUGUUCCUUCUCUUUCGAGAAAUUUAGUUUCUUUGUCUAAGUUAGAUAAGACUGGAUAUUCCUUUAAUUUUGGUAAUGGAUGUUUUAGUUUGUUUAAACAUAAUUAGCUCAUUGGUACUGGUACUCUUUGUGAUAACUUAUACAAACUGAAUCUUGAUAAUCUUCUUGUCGAAACACUCUUAACUCUG